Molecule: ribosomal RNA, 425 nt
Filed under: uncultured bacterium
Lineage: Bacteria
Description: bacterial SSU rRNA
Rfam family: Bacterial small subunit ribosomal RNA
Source: RNAcentral
GUGGGGAAUAUUGGACAAUGGGCGAAAGCCUGAUCCAGCAAUACCGCGUGAGUGACGAAGGCCCUAGGGUUGUAAAGCUCUUUUACCAGGGAUGAUAAUGACAGUACCUGGAGAAUAAGCUCCGGCUAACUCCGUGCCAGCAGCCGCGGUAAUACGGAGGGAGCUAGCGUUGUUAGGAAUUACUGGGCGUAAAGCGCGCGUAGGCGGUUUUUUAUGUCAGAGGUGAAAGCCCGGGGCUCAACCCCGGAAUUGCCUUUGAAACUGGAAGACUUGAAUCUUGGAGAGGUCAGUGGAAUUCCGAGUGUAGAGGUGAAAUUCGUAGAUAUUCGGAAGAACGCCAGUGGCGAAGGCGACUGACUGGACAAGUAUUGACGCUGAGGUGCGAAAGCGUGGGGAGCAAACAGGAUUAGAAACCCUAGUAGUCC